RNAcentral lists this ribosomal RNA (241 nucleotides) under uncultured bacterium. RNAcentral describes it as "partial 16S ribosomal RNA". The record is from RNAcentral.
CUGCUGCCUCCCGUAGGAGUCUGGGCCGUAUCUCAGUCCCAAUGUGGCCGGCCAACCUCUCAGUCCGGCUACUGAUCGUCGCCUUGGUGGGCCGUUACCUCACCAACUAGCUAAUCAGACGCGAGGCCAUCUUCCAGCGAUAAAUCUUUGACAUUCAAACCAUGCGAUUCAAAUGCAUCAUGCGGUAUUAGCAGUCGUUUCCAACUGUUGUCCCCCUCUGGAAGGCAGGUUCCUCACGUCG